CAGUCGCCGCGGUAAAACGGAGGGUGCAAGCGUUAUCCGGAUUCACUGGGUUUAAAGGGUGCGUAGGCGGGCAGGUAAGUCAGUGGUGAAAUCUUCGAGCUUAACUCGGAAACUGCCGUUGAUACUAUCUGUCUUGAGUAACGUUGAGGUGAGCGGAAUAUGUCAUGUAGCGGUGAAAUGCUUAGAUAUGACAUAGAACACCGAUUGCGAAGGCAGCUCACUAAACGCUCAUUGACGCUGAGGCACGAAAGCGUGGGGAUCAAACAGGAUUAGAUACCCCUGUAGUCCCUGUCUCUUAUAC
This 301-nucleotide ribosomal RNA is filed under the name uncultured bacterium. Its description in RNAcentral is "partial 16S ribosomal RNA". It matches the Rfam family "Bacterial small subunit ribosomal RNA", at positions 509 to 807 of the family's 1533-position model. The record is from RNAcentral.